GAGUUUGAUCCUGGCUCAGGAUGAACGCUAGCGGGAGGCUUAACACAUGCAAGUCGAGGGGUAUAAUUAGCAAUAGUUAGAGACCGGCGCACGGGUGAGUAACGCGUAUGCAACCUGCCCUUUACCGGGGGAUAGCCCGUAGAAAUGCGGAUUAAUACCCCAUAGGUCUGUCAGAUCGCAUGGUUUGACAGAUAAAGCUGAGGUGGUAAAGGAUGGGCAUGCGUGACAUUAGCUUGUUGGUGAGGUAACGGCUCACCAAGGCUGCGAUGUCUAGGGGUUCUGAGAGGAAGAUCCCCCACACUGGUACUGAGACACGGACCAGACUCCUACGGGAGGCAGCAGUGAGGAAUAUUGGGCAAUGGGCGCAAGCCUGACCCAGCCAUGCCGCGUGCAGGAUGACGGCGCUAUGCGUUGUAAACUGCUUUUGUACAGGAAGAAACCCAUUUACGUGUAAGUGGUUGACGGUACUGUCAGAAUAAGCAUCGGCUAACUCCGUGCCAGCAGCCGCGGUAAUACGGAGGAUGCAAGCGUUAUCCGGAUUCAUUGGGUUUAAAGGGCGCGUAGGCGGAGUACUAAGUCAGUGAUGAAAUCCUGCAGCUUAACUGUAGAACUGUCAUUGAUACUGGUACUCUUGAAUGCAGUUGAGGUAGGCGGAAUGUGUAAUGUAGCGGUGAAAUGCUUAGAUAUUACACAGAACACCGAUUGCGAAGGCAGCUUACUAAACUGUGAUUGACGCUGAGGCACGAA
This 747-nucleotide ribosomal RNA is filed under the name uncultured bacterium. Its description in RNAcentral is "bacterial SSU rRNA". It matches the Rfam family "Bacterial small subunit ribosomal RNA", at positions 9 to 757 of the family's 1533-position model. The record is from RNAcentral.